GCGCCCAUAGCUCAGCUGGAUAGAGCACCGGUCUUCGGAACCGGUUGUCGGGGGUUCGAAUCCCUCUGGGCGCACCA
This 77-nucleotide transfer RNA is filed under the name Candidatus Peregrinibacteria bacterium. RNAcentral describes it as "tRNA-Arg". It matches the Rfam family "tRNA". From Rfam's summary of the family: Transfer RNA (tRNA) molecules are approximately 80 nucleotides in length. Their secondary structure includes four short double-helical elements and three loops (D, anti-codon, and T loops). The record is from RNAcentral. Lineage: Bacteria; Candidatus Peregrinibacteriota.